RNAcentral lists this transfer RNA (75 nucleotides) under Candidatus Paracaedimonas acanthamoebae. RNAcentral describes it as "tRNA-Gln (TTG) (tRNA-Gln-TTG-1-1)". It matches the Rfam family "tRNA". From Rfam's summary of the family: Transfer RNA (tRNA) molecules are approximately 80 nucleotides in length. Their secondary structure includes four short double-helical elements and three loops (D, anti-codon, and T loops). RNAcentral also lists the same sequence under 3 other names. The record is from RNAcentral. Lineage: Bacteria; Pseudomonadati; Pseudomonadota; Alphaproteobacteria; Holosporales; Caedimonadaceae.
UGGGGAGUCGCCAAGUGGUAAGGCAUCGGUUUUUGGUACCGACAUUCGAGGGUUCGAAUCCUUCCUCCCCAGCCA